GAUGAACGCUGGCGGCGUGCCUAAUACAUGCAAGUCGAGCGAACAGAUGAGGAGCUUGCUCCUCUGACGUUAGCGGCGGACGGGUGAGUAACACGUGGAUAACCUACCUAUAAGACUGGGAUAACUUCGGGAAACCGGAGCUAAUACCGGAUAAUAUAUUGAACCGCAUGGUUCAAUAGUGAAAGACGGUUUUGCUGUCACUUAUAGAUGGAUCCGCGCCGCAUUAGCUAGUUGGUAAGGUAACGGCUUACCAAGGCGACGAUGCGUAGCCGACCUGAGAGGGUGAUCGGCCACACUGGAACUGAGACACGGUCCAGACUCCUACGGGAGGCAGCAGUAGGGAAUCUUCCGCAAUGGGCGAAAGCCUGACGGAGCAACGCCGCGUGAGUGAUGAAGGUCUUCGGAUCGUAAAACUCUGUUAUUAGGGAAGAACAAAUGUGUAAGUAACUAUGCACGUCUUGACGGUACCUAAUCAGAGAGCCACGGCUAACUACGUG
RNAcentral lists this ribosomal RNA (497 nucleotides) under uncultured bacterium. RNAcentral describes it as "partial 16S ribosomal RNA". It matches the Rfam family "Bacterial small subunit ribosomal RNA", at positions 28 to 507 of the family's 1533-position model. The record is from RNAcentral.